This 936-nucleotide ribosomal RNA is filed under the name Rhodococcus boritolerans. Its description in RNAcentral is "bacterial SSU rRNA". It matches the Rfam family "Bacterial small subunit ribosomal RNA", at positions 75 to 1030 of the family's 1533-position model. Lineage: Bacteria; Bacillati; Actinomycetota; Actinomycetes; Mycobacteriales; Nocardiaceae. The record is from RNAcentral.
GCCUUUCGGGGUACACGAGCGGCGAACGGGUGAGUAACACGUGGGUGAUCUGCCCUGCACUUCGGGAUAAGCCUGGGAAACUGGGUCUAAUACCGGAUAUGACCUCCUAUCGCAUGGUGGGUGGUGGAAAGAUUUAUCGGUGCAGGAUGGGCCCGCGGCCUAUCAGCUUGUUGGUGGGGUAAUGGCCUACCAAGGCGACGACGGGUAGCCGACCUGAGAGGGUGACCGGCCACACUGGGACUGAGACACGGCCCAGACUCCUACGGGAGGCAGCAGUGGGGAAUAUUGCACAAUGGGCGAAAGCCUGAUGCAGCGACGCCGCGUGAGGGAUGACGGCCUUCGGGUUGUAAACCUCUUUCAGCAGGGACGAAGCGCAAGUGACGGUACCUGCAGAAGAAGCACCGGCUAACUACGUGCCAGCAGCCGCGGUAAUACGUAGGGUGCAAGCGUUGUCCGGAAUUACUGGGCGUAAAGAGUUCGUAGGCGGUUUGUCGCGUCGUUUGUGAAAACCAGCAGCUCAACUGCUGGCUUGCAGGCGAUACGGGCAGACUUGAGUACUGCAGGGGAGACUGGAAUUCCUGGUGUAGCGGUGAAAUGCGCAGAUAUCAGGAGGAACACCGGUGGCGAAGGCGGGUCUCUGGGCAGUAACUGACGCUGAGGAACGAAAGCGUGGGUAGCGAACAGGAUUAGAUACCCUGGUAGUCCACGCCGUAAACGGUGGGCGCUAGGUGUGGGUUCCUUCCACGGAAUCCGUGCCGUAGCUAACGCAUUAAGCGCCCCGCCUGGGGAGUACGGCCGCAAGGCUAAAACUCAAGGAAUUGACGGGGGCCCGCACAAGCGGCGGAGCAUGUGGAUAAAUUCGAUGCAACGCGAAGAACCUUACCUGGGUUUGACAUAUACCGGAAAGCUGCAGAGAUGUGGCCCCCUUGUGGUCGG